Molecule: non-coding RNA, 31 nt
Filed under: Rattus norvegicus (Norway rat)
Lineage: Eukaryota; Metazoa; Chordata; Mammalia; Rodentia; Muridae
Source: RNAcentral
UGGGACUAAAGAUGUGUGUACCACCACCUGU